UGGGGAAUUUUGGACAAUGGGGGAAACCCUGAUCCAGCCAUCCCGCGUGUGCGAUGAAGGCCUUCGGGUUGUAAAGCACUUUCGGCAGGAAAGAAACGUCAUGGGUUAAUACCCCGUGAAACUGACGGUACCUGCAGAAUAAGCACCGGCUAACUACGUGCCAGCAGCCGCGGUAAUACGUAGGGUGCAAGCGUUAAUCGGAAUUACUGGGCGUAAAGCGUGCGCAGGCGGUUCGGAAAGAAAGAUGUGAAAUCCCAGAGCUCAACUUUGGAACUGCAUUUUUAACUACCGGGCUAGAGUGUGUCAGAGGGAGGUGGAAUUCCGCAUGUAGCAGUGAAAUGCGUAGAUAUGCGGAGGAACACCGAUGGCGAAGGCAGCCUCCUGGGAUAACACUGACGCUCAUGCACGAAAGCGUGGGGAGCAAACAGG
This 429-nucleotide ribosomal RNA is filed under the name Acidobacteriota bacterium. RNAcentral describes it as "Acidobacteria bacterium partial 16S ribosomal RNA". It matches the Rfam family "Bacterial small subunit ribosomal RNA", at positions 355 to 776 of the family's 1533-position model. The record is from RNAcentral. Lineage: Bacteria; Pseudomonadati; Acidobacteriota.